GCUCAGCAGCCAUGGCUCACGGGCACAGCCGCUCCGCGGCAUGUGGGAUCUUCCCGGACCGGGGCACGAACCCGUGUCCCCUGCAUCGGCAGGCGGACUCUCAACCACUGUGCCACCAGGGAAGCCCCAGCCCAUUUCUUUGAAGGCAGCAUGAAAUGCCAGGGAAGACAUUUCAACUCAAUGAGGAUCAGGACACACAGGAAGAAUACAGUUCCUGCCUUGUGUUUAGUGAGGCUAACCUCGGAAGUCCUCACUCUCCCAGAAGGAGAAGUUCCCUCCAUGCUUUCCAACUCUCUCCACCUGUACAAGGCACAGGUUGGUCAUUUACUGGUCAAUUUGCUCAUUAAUAAUAAACACCCCACGUGAGAAGUUCCCAUGGACUAAAUUAAUUGGAUAACUGCAAAGGCUCCACUUGUCUUGGGACUGUUAGAAAACGUCUCAUUACUGGAAACUGAAAGAUGGAGCCAUUUGGAUACUGGCCCAGGACCACCCAAAUGGGAAAAAGGGGAUAACCUCAGGGUGGAAAAGCCUGGCACACAACGUGCAUCAAAUGAUCUAAGUGGACAUCACCAGCAUGAGGACAAAAGUAUGGGGCACUUGAUAGGACGUGAUGGAAAGUAUUUCUGUGAUUUUCCUGCCAAAGCUCCAUCGUUCUGCUUCAGAUACUCAAAUGGAAUUUCCAGAUGGUUGCCUUCUCUAAGGCAUUAGCCAGAACCAGGCACAUGGUCCCAACCUAACCACGGCGGCUGGGACGUGUAGGAAGAGAAAGCACAUGGAAUGUUCGAGAGCACUACCAUGUCGUAUUGCUGGACAAACAUAAUCCGUUCAAUUUGUCAUACCUUCUGAGGCACGGAGAAAGGAAAAGAAGAAAUGAGGGUUAACAGCCAUUGAGCGGUGCUCAGUUUGCAGACAAUAUGCAUAAAAGAUCUUACUUAGUCUUUAUAAGCACCAUUGCCAAUCCCCAAGUUGUACUCACAUUUUGACAGAACAUUUGCGUUGCCACGUAAAGAACCACGACCAGAGGAGAUGGUGGCGGAGGAUAAAAGGAGCCUGCGAGUGGGAGAAGAAAGCUCUGGACAGCAACGUGUCACGUGACUAGCUGCUGAAAGGAAGUUUUUUGUACCUAUGCGUAUUCUCCUCCUUGCUUUGAUAGGGAUAUAGGCAUAUAUAUUAAUCAGUUCCUUUUCCCUCCUUUCUCAUGCCCCCUCUAGCCAAUAUAAAGCAGCUAACCCUAUAAUUUGGCAUUUAAGUCACAGGAAAGCAAAGGAAUAUUGCAUCUGAACUAGGAAUGAAUAUUCUCGGACAUAAGGUGACAUAUGGGAGGCGGUGUCUUUCUUUUCCAGGAGCAGGUGAGUACAUCCUCAGUUGUGUAAGGGACAGUUGUAUCACAUUAGGGAUAACAGGAUGUUAUGUCUUCCGGGGGAAGUUCUAAUCUGGGGAAAGACGAAUGGACUGUACUGUCUGUGUUCAGCUCAGCAUCGUUACCACCCUGCGCUCUGCAAUACAGAGGAGAGGGCAGAAACCACGCUUCUUGCAAUUCCCUUUCCUGAAAGGUUCUGGCUAGAACUCGUCCGUAAGAGGUUCUCAGGUACAAUAUGGAAAAGGCAAGGCCAUUCUCCAGAAGCUGUCGCCAGCAGGUGUGUGGGCAGCUGCGCCCCCCCACCCCGAGCUCCUGAGAAUGACCUGCCUCACUGCUGCAGCCUGAGACACUGCAGCCUCCCGGAGACCCAAGAAUGUAAGCAGUUAUUUAGCACGGCUUCCCUCACCUCUUCUCCUCCCGCUCUCGCAAAGCCUGCGUAAGACUCUCAUUUCUAUCUGAAAUCCUUAACUUCACAGUAAUUUUAAUAUACAUCCCAG
Lagenorhynchus albirostris (white-beaked dolphin) is the source of this 1857-nucleotide long non-coding RNA. RefSeq lists it as uncharacterized. The transcript has 8 exons. Lineage: Eukaryota; Metazoa; Chordata; Mammalia; Artiodactyla; Delphinidae. The record is from RefSeq and is a predicted model, not a curated record.